This 671-nucleotide ribosomal RNA is filed under the name uncultured fungus. RNAcentral's name for it is "eukaryotic LSU rRNA". It matches the Rfam family "Eukaryotic large subunit ribosomal RNA", at positions 24 to 664 of the family's 3401-position model. The record is from RNAcentral. Lineage: Eukaryota; Fungi.
CCCGCUGAACUUAAGCAUAUCAAUAAGCGGAGGAAAAGAAACUAACAAGGAUUCCCUUAGUAACUGCGAGUGAAGUGGGAAAAGCUCAAAUUUAAAAUCUGGCAGUCUGAAUUUACUUCUUUGGCUGUCCGAGUUGUAAUCUAGAGAAGUGCUACCUGUACUGGACCAUGUACAAGUCUCCUGGGAUGGAGCAUCACAGAGGGUGAGAAUCCCGUCUAUGACAUGGACUACCAGUGUGUUGUGGAGUACUUUCAAAGAGUCGAGUUGUUUGGGAAUGCAGCUCUAAAUGGGUGGUAAACUCCAUCUAAAGCUAAAUAUUGGCGAGAGACCGAUAGUGAACAAGUACCGUGAGGGAAAGAUGAAAAGGACUUUGGAAAGAGAGUUAAACAGUACGUGAAAUUGUUGAAAGGGAAACACUUGAUGUCAGUUGUGUUAGCUGGGGAUCAGCCUAGCUUUUUUGCUUGGUGAAUUUCCUGGUUUAACAGGCCAACAUCAGUUUUGACUGCUGGAGAAAGGCAGACGGAAUGUGGCACCUUUGGGUGUGUUAUAGCUUUCUGUCAGAUGUAGCAGUUGGGACUGAGGUAUGCAGUGCGCCGUAAGGCAGGGUUUCGACCACACUCGCACUUAGGAUGUUGGUUUAAUGGCAUCAAUUGACCCGUCUUGAAACACGG